RNAcentral lists this long non-coding RNA (241 nucleotides) under Gossypium raimondii (Peruvian cotton). Its description in RNAcentral is "long non-coding RNA (GRAI_LNC000050)". The record is from RNAcentral. Lineage: Eukaryota; Viridiplantae; Streptophyta; Magnoliopsida; Malvales; Malvaceae.
AAAAAUUUAGUGAGAUCAAUGUCUCCUGUAAGUCUGGUAAAACAGUUUGGAGAUGGGUUGAGCUCUUGAAAUUGGAUACAGUGGAGCUUUUAAUUUAAAGUAUUGCUUAGCAGAUUGAGAAUGCAGUGGUUGUUAAUUACUUAUGAUUUAGGGUAACUAUGCACCAGUCAGUUCCCUCUUAAAUAAAAGCUACAAUGCUAUAUACGAUAUUUGGUGUAGUUUACAAAUGACAGCAUAGCAC